AAAAUUCACCUGCAAAAAAUUCACCUGCAAAAAUUCACCUGCAAAAAAUUCACCUGCAAAAAUUCACCUGCAAAAAUUCAACUGCAAAAAUUCACCUGCAAAAGUGAUGACCUUAAAUGACCCAAGCCAGAGCAAUCAGCACUAGAUCGAGUCGAGCGGCUCUCAGCCAAUUAAAUUACGCUGUUUGAUCACAUGACAUGUUAGCCGGCAGUGUCUUCUGAAAAGAGAGCUGUUUAGAGGUGAGUGAUUAAGUUUUUCUCCUAAAUAGAGAUCAUUACAGAACGCCUAGUCCUACUUAAAAUACCAUUCAUUUUUCUUUUAUUUUAUCAUCUACUCGAACUGAGGAAAACGUUUGACUAACUCAAAGAAAAUUUCCGCGCCUCCCCUGCCUGUCUGCAGAGGCAGUUUUGAAUUCAGGAGCGGCAUGAUGGCAGCGGCAAACCCUGGCGGUUCUCCGGGUUCGUGGCAACCACGGAUGGGAAAAUGUGGAGGUUGCACGGCUGAUGUUUACUGUUCGUGGCACAGGAAGAGGCAGUUUCAUUUCAGGAAUGAGUGUGCACAAUCAAAGCUUAUCACACAUUUGAUUUCCAUGUGUGACAACUGCAAGUGUCCAGAGUGAGGACAGACUGAGGGACCCACUGCUGCACAUCAUCUGUGAGGCUUUGCACCCCUGAUGAUCCACCAGGACAAACUCAGCAGUGUGUGAGGAAGAGGAGGAGGAAGAGCCAGCAGCAGCUGACAGAUGGAGAGAAUAGACAGACUGUUCCCUGUUUGUGAAGGACUGCUAGGAAAGUUUAAAAUAACUAAUUGUCUGUCCUGAAUCAGUCUUAUUAGGUAAUGUUCAAAUAAUGUUAUCAUUCCAGUGUUUUCAGUGUGGGAGAAAGUACUCAGGGCCUUCAAGUUACACACUAUGAAAGGCAGCAACAAGUUUAAUAUUCAGAAACCUAAAGUAUGUAUCAGCAGCAGAAUGGAGCUAAAAAUAAAUGUUUGUUUCAGUUCUAUGAAGCUUUGAGUAUUUUGGAUUAGUAGCACUGCUGUGUUUGUUGCAUCAUAUUGCUGUAAUUGUUUAUAUGCUUUAUAUACUCAGAGGUAAGUUGAUCUAUAGUGUUACAUCAUAUUCUAUAAGGAUGUUAUGUGUUUGUAUACUUUCUGCCCAGUUUGACCCAUUUAGCAGAAGUCAGCCUGUUUAAGGCUCUGAUAUCUAUUCUGUAUGACUUAAAGCAGUUAUGACAUGGUCUGAUUUUCUCACCCAAUAA
This is a long non-coding RNA of Pelmatolapia mariae (spotted tilapia), 1256 nucleotides long. RefSeq lists it as uncharacterized. The record is from RefSeq and is a predicted model, not a curated record. NCBI's taxonomy places the organism in Eukaryota, Metazoa, Chordata, Actinopteri, Cichliformes, Cichlidae. The transcript has 3 exons.